GCCUUGAUGGUGAAAUGGUAUACACGCGAGACUCCAAAUCUUGUGCUUAAGGGCGUAGAGGUGAGAGUCCUCUUCAAGGCA
RNAcentral lists this non-coding RNA (81 nucleotides) under Musa acuminata subsp. malaccensis (wild Malaysian banana). Its description in RNAcentral is "tRNA". It matches the Rfam family "tRNA". Rfam says of the family: Transfer RNA (tRNA) molecules are approximately 80 nucleotides in length. Their secondary structure includes four short double-helical elements and three loops (D, anti-codon, and T loops). The record is from Rfam by way of RNAcentral. Lineage: Eukaryota; Viridiplantae; Streptophyta; Magnoliopsida; Zingiberales; Musaceae.